RNAcentral lists this transfer RNA (81 nucleotides) under Paragonimus westermani. RNAcentral describes it as "tRNA-Asn". It matches the Rfam family "tRNA". Rfam says of the family: Transfer RNA (tRNA) molecules are approximately 80 nucleotides in length. Their secondary structure includes four short double-helical elements and three loops (D, anti-codon, and T loops). Lineage: Eukaryota; Metazoa; Platyhelminthes; Trematoda; Plagiorchiida; Troglotrematidae. The record is from RNAcentral.
GGCUUCGUAGCUCAUUUGGUAGAGCAGUUGCCGUGUUGAAGCAUGCGGUAUCUGUCGCUGGUUCGAAUCUAGUCGAAGCCC